CACAUCCUGGCCAUCCCAGGCAAGAGUGCUAAUGUGAGGGCCAAGAGUUUUGGAGUAGAGGCCUUGAUAGCACUAGAUAGCCUGAUUGCUGAGUCUAUUUCUACCAAAGGAUAAGGCACACAUCUAUAUGGAUACCGCAUAAAAACCACUCAUGGAGGUACAGAGGGAGGCUCUUCGCGAUUGCUUUGAUGCUACGUGACGAGGAUUAUCUGCGCCAAAUCUGCAGAAAAGGAACCUGGCAGAUCAUGUUCCUUAACCAGAUGCGAAGAAAAGUCAAUGACAUAGAAGGCUGUGGACCACCUAGAAAUGAUGGGGAUUGGCUAAGUAGAAGAAAAUUCAUGUGGCAGCCAUGGUGGGAGCUGAAAGAGAAGAUUCGCCACAGUUGGGAUCUGUGUGUUCCGUCCAGGAGGAAGAUGUCUUGUGGAUUCUGAGGAGAGCCGUGGCUGCUACACUGACCCAGGAGCCUGACUGGCCAGUGUCAUCCUCUUGCUGUCUUUCCCAGCCAGUCUGCAGCUCCCCAGAGGACCCACUGUUACUUAUCUCCUGGGCACCUAGUUCCUGCCUGCAAUAUCCUUCAGCUUAGACUGACUUCAUUUCGUGAUAUCCUUUACCCAGAGUCCUUUUUUUCACACCUCACAGACCAUCACCAGAGGAAACAGGCCGAAUGCAGUCUUCAGGCAGGGAAGUUCUUUUGUUCUUUCUCAUGUUUUUGAUUUUUGAUCAGCUUUGGAAUAGGACUCUGGCUCAGUGUGUGUUACACUUUAAUUAAUUGGUCUGUAUAUGCAUCUCUCUCUCUCUCUUUCUCUGUGUGUGUGUGUGUGUGUGUGUGUGCAGGUGUGAUGCAAAUGUGUUUUUGGUGGCUGGAAAUUGACACCAGGUGCCUUCCUCAGUUGCUCUCCACCUUAUUUUUUUCAGACAAGAUCUCUUACUGAACCUGAAGCUCCUUGAUUCAGGGGGUGUGGCUGGCCAGCAAGCCUCAGGGAUGCCCUUGGCGUCCCGGGUACUAGGAUUAGAGGCACCAGCUUCCACAUGAGUGGGGAGGUGAAGGCCAAGAGGAGGUGAGGAACUGUCUCUCCAAGUGCAAGCUGAUGGAUGUUUGCCAAGCCUGAAACACUGCUAAGGAGACAGAGGCAUUGCCUUCUCUGCAGUAGGAAGGGAGCAUUUGGGUGCAGGCACAGAGAAGCUGACUUGUAGCUGGGUCUCUAUGCUGGCUCUAACACCUGGAAGGGUGCCUGUUCACAUCUGGGCUGGAUGCAGUGGAGCUGACACUGUCUCCUUGCCUACCUGUCUGAAUUUGGUCCAGGUUUGGUGGCUCAGUGACCAGUCCUAUCAACGGCCCAGUGCACAUACUUAAGAGUGUCUCGGACCUGCCCGCCGAUUUCUCUACGGUUUCUUAUGAAUUUCCUCCAAAGGAACCAUAAAUCCCAGCAAGUUCAAAUGAGCCACCAUGGCCACUCCAUCAGCCUCAUAGCACGUUCAGUGAAACUGAGUCUUACAGAAAGAAGUCUGCUGGUGAGAAGCUUGCCAGCUCCCAGUCUUUCGCCCGGCGCUGCAAUCAAUAAUGUAUUAUUUCCUUCACCACCAUGCCCUGUACUUUCCCAUUUUGAAUUAGUCGUUGAGUGUAAUAUUGGGUAGCAGCCAUCCAUUUCUGCUGGCCUCUGACGUGUGACCACUCGAAGUCUGACAGCUCUGGGGGAUUGGAUCUCUUUGUGUUUGGCCAGAGAGUUUAGGACAAAUCUAACUGAUCCAUCUUAACCUCACCUCCAAUCCCUGAUUCAGUCUGCCUUUUCUUCUGCCCUCAUCUACCUCUGUGGUGACCCCAGUCCCCAACUGGAGUGCAGGACAAACUGUUAUCCAGUCUUCCUAAGAUUGUCCCCUGCAAAUCCAUCUUUCCCUCACUGUGAAGAGUGUGUACUUUCUCUGCUGUACAUUUUACCCCUUGUUCUUCUCUGCUGUCUCAUGGAUUCUGUAGUCUUCUUCACACACUUUGCAGUGCUUAAACUGUAGUCCUCCAGGACAAGUUUCAUAACUUGUUUCCUGUGCAUUGGGCACACAGAAAUGAGCUUCUCACCCCUCUGACACUCCUGUCAUGUUUGGGUUCCCUGUUUGAAGGCAAAUUACUCUGCUGCAAAACCAGCCUCCCGAACCCCAGUUUUACCCAAUUUCUCUGCUUAGAUCACGUGAGCCAGAAUUAUUGUGCUGUUAAGGUUUAUUUACUUUGAAUUUCAGUGUUUUAUGAACAUAUAUUUGAUACACAGUAAUGAAAAGUGACACCUCUUGUUAUUUAUGGCUUGCCUCUUGGAGCUCCCCCCGCCCUCUGCUUGCCUUUCUUGGUAGUUAUUGCUGUGAGUGGAGCUGGUGUUCUUUUGAGCAGGUGAGAUCAUUGCUGGCUCGUUGAGGAGUGUGGGCUCUAGAGCAAAGAGCAAAAGCCAUGCUUUAAUAGGAUGCAAUAUUGCCAGGAUUCCUUUAGCUGCAGAGGGCUGAGUCCCUUUUAACACUUUAUGCCACAGUUGGGGUUCCAUAGGAUUGCUCAGAGAACUUGGCUGGACCAGAGAUGAGCCAUCUGUCAAUUGAGAUCUUGCCUGUCCUCUUCAUCUCUGGAUUCUGUUUUCUUUCCUUCUUUUUAUUUAUUUAUUUUUUAAUUAGCUUUCAUAGCAACAGGCUUCCUUGUAGCAUUUUCUGCAGGAUUUCUCCAUAUCACUCCAGCCCCCAUCUCCCUACAGUUCUUCCUUAGUACUGAUCCUAACCCCAGCCUCCCCCUUCCACUGUAGAGUGCCAUAUGUCCUCUUGUCUUCUCUACCUCCCUCCUCCUUCCUUUAAUUCCUCUUCAUCUUUAUCUCUUGGGCCCCAUCGCAGUUUCCUGGCCUUUGUUUCCAUCUAGACACAUGUAGUUGAUAAUUAGAGGCUAGGUCUGCAUGUGAGAGGAUAGAUGGCAUUUGUCCCACUGAACCCAGGUUACCUCAAAUAAUAUGUUUGCAAAAAUAUCCAUUUUCCUGCAACUCUCCUGAUUUUUGCUUUCUACUCCACUGGCUUCCUCUGUAGCUCCUUUCCCCCAUUUUUCACAGGAAAUAUGGCUGCCAACACCUGGAAUGUUAUUCUUGGUGAAUGGAGAGCAGAAGUCUUCUAGUUGGUUCUGGGUCAAGACUACUGUAGGACUUGUAAGAUGGCUGGGAGGCCUGACAGUAAUUGUAUCAGGGCCUAUGAGAGAAAGAUCAGCUUUGAAUAUUUCAGAGAGUGAGAUUCAUGGGAGUGAGGGGUCUUCAGAGAGUCUCACAAGAAAAUCCUGCUGAAUAAACCAUAUUAUGGUCCUUUCA
Molecule: long non-coding RNA, 3314 nt
Filed under: Mus musculus (house mouse)
Lineage: Eukaryota; Metazoa; Chordata; Mammalia; Rodentia; Muridae
Description: predicted gene 6249
Source: RNAcentral